RNAcentral lists this ribosomal RNA (207 nucleotides) under uncultured bacterium. RNAcentral describes it as "partial 16S ribosomal RNA". It matches the Rfam family "Bacterial small subunit ribosomal RNA", at positions 568 to 774 of the family's 1533-position model. The record is from RNAcentral.
CUCGUAGGCGGCCAACUAAGUCAGACGUGAAAUCCCUCGGCUUAACCGGGGAACUGCGCCUGAUACUGGAUGGCUUGAGGUUGGGAGAGGGAUGCGGAAUUCCAGGUGUAGCGGUGAAAUGCGUAGAUAUCUGGAGGGACACCGGUGGCGAAGGCGGCAUCCUGGACCAAAUCUGACGCUGAGGAGCGAAAGCCAGGGGAGCAAACG